UCAAGCGGGCAGGCAAUCGCGGGGUUUAGUGCCUCGAGGAAAGUCCGGGCUCCGCAGAGCAGGGUGCUGGGCGCAAGCCCAGUAAGCGCAAGCUUAAGGAAAGUGCAACAGAAAAUAUACCGCGCCCCAAAAGGGCGUAAGGGUGAAAUGGCGGGGCAAGGGCCCACCGGCAUCCGGGCGACCGGAUGGCCAUGUAAACCCCACCCGGAGCAAGGCCAAAUAGGAGGAGGUCAAGGGCUGCUCGUCCGUCUCCUCGGGUAGGCCGCCUAGAGAAAUGAUUGCCCACGACAGAACCCGGCUUACAACCCGCUUGGGACA
RNAcentral lists this RNase P RNA (318 nucleotides) under Caldisericales bacterium. Its description in RNAcentral is "RNase P RNA component class A". It matches the Rfam family "Bacterial RNase P class A". Rfam says of the family: Ribonuclease P (RNase P) is a ubiquitous endoribonuclease, found in archaea, bacteria and eukarya as well as chloroplasts and mitochondria. Its best characterised activity is the generation of mature 5'-ends of tRNAs by cleaving the 5'-leader elements of precursor-tRNAs. Cellular RNase Ps are ribonucleoproteins. The record is from RNAcentral. Lineage: Bacteria; Pseudomonadati; Caldisericota; Caldisericia; Caldisericales.